AGGAAGGGAAGUGUGGAAACUGGUUUGUCAAGGGCCACCCAGUGUGGGCUCAGGAAGAGAAGGAAUGUGACUGAGGCUGGGUGUGGCAGAGGAGAGCACAGCCAGUUGUGGGUUUUUCUUGGGGCCCAGAUAGAUGGGAACAGAGGUGGAGGCCCCUCUCUCCCAGCACCCCCCCAGCACACACACUAGGACCUUUCUUCA
Tupaia belangeri (northern tree shrew) is the source of this 201-nucleotide non-coding RNA. Lineage: Eukaryota; Metazoa; Chordata; Mammalia; Scandentia; Tupaiidae. The record is from Rfam.